UUAAACCUUCCUAACAUGACAUGACCAUGGUAAUUUCACAUGCAACCAUUACAAUAAGUUUUUCUUUCAUCUUUACCAUAUUAAUGCUAUAGCUAUCAACAUGUCAUCAAACCUCAUGUCCAUCACAAAGCAUGAAUAAUCAUAUCCACAAACCAUUCAUGAAGCAUUAUUAACUAUUUACCAAUCACUUAAUCCUGCAUUAGUUAUUAGCUCAUCAAUGAAUCUCAAUUCAAUCUCUAGGCAUACAUGUUGUAAGCCACAUCACAAGAGAUAAUAACAUACAUGCAUAAGAAUAAUCAUAUGGCCCAUAACGAUAUUAGCCGACAUAGGCCAAUUUACAUGACUAAUACUACCUUAAUAACAAGCCAAUGCCUUUGGCUAAAUCAUAAUAUUACAUACUCACAUUAAAACCCUAUACAUGCCAUAGACUAGAAUCACUUGAGUUUACUUACGCCGAUAGCGUUAACUCGACAGUGUGAUAAUAUCUCUAACGGCCUUCAACCCGAGCUAACCUGGAAACUCUAGAAAACAUGGGAAAGAAGGGGGGUAAGCUUUCGCUUAGUAAGUUCAUAUGAAAACAAUAAGCAACUCAUUAACUUGUUUUAUCAAUGUUUACAACAUAUUCUCAAGUUCACUGCAAGCUGUCUUCCUGAGCAAUAGUCACUAAAUUAUUUAUAUCUGGAGCUACGAAACUCCAAAUUAAGUUCCGUUAAUUUUUCCUGAAACUAGACUCAUUUAUCUUUCUUUCAUAAAAUUUCCAGAAUUUUUGACUUAGCCAAUUAGUACAGUUUACUCCUCAAGUUUGCUCCUGAUUCACUGUCUCACAGUUUCAACCCUUCUGCACUAAAGUUCAAUUAUCUCAUAGUACAGGAUUCGAAUAAUGUUCUCGUCUAUUUAUCUUGAAAUUAUACUCAUAUGUAUACUUACUAAUUUUUUUCUAGAAUUUUUGGUCAAGCCAUUUAGUACAGUUUAUUAGUUAAAGUCUCCCCUGUUUCAGGGUAUGACCACUCUGACCCUUGUGUACUACGAACCGAAUUUCUCCCUGUACAAAAUUCCAACGACGAUGCCAUUUUUUCCCUUAAAAAUAGACUCAAUAAGGAAUCCAUGCAAGUAAGGUAUGACUCUUAAUAAUUUUUUUACAAUUUAUGAUGAAUUUCUAAAGUUAGAAUAGGGGAUCUCGAAUUCAUUCAGAUCCUGUUUUACAAGAAUUCAAAUAUCACACAAUAUAGAAUUCUUUUUCUUCCUCUGUUUCUUUCAUGUGAAAAUAGACUCAUUAAGCUUUAAUCUCAUUUUUUAUUCUGCCUCUAACUAAUUUUCCACUAUUUUUAGUGUAUUUUCAAAGUUACAUUACUAUAGUAACUCAAAUUUGUCAAUGCUAAGUUACUCAUUCAUGAUCAUUGUUCACAAAAUUAAUACAACAUCAUUUCAUCCAUCAUGGUAAGAACACAUAUUAUGCAUCAUAGAUCAUCACAUAUCAAGGCAUUCUCAUAGGCUUAAUAUACAUACUUGCACAACUCGUAACAUAACUCAAGUGUAUACUCACCAAUGACUUACCUCGUUGGGACCAUCAUCAACUCUUUCCUUGGAUUACCCGUUGAACACUUGGAAUACUAAUUGGAUACUCGGAAAAGCCUUUGCACAUAAGUGCCUCAAUUGUAGCUAAAGCUACCUCAUAUCUCAUGACAUUUCAAUGCUCACUCUCGAGCUAGUCAUCUAGACUUAUAAUUUCUAGUGACAUGUCACUCGUAUCCUAUUCUAUUUCUAAGGUUCAAACGGGAUUUUUCCUCAUCUAUUAAGGCUUUGUCUUAUCAUAUUUCUAUUAAUCACAUACACUUAAUAUUUGUACAAUUCAUGUAAUGAUAACAUUUAAAUACAUGUAUAGCAUGGUAUUGUUUACAUACAAACUUACCUCGAUACCACAAAGGUGAAAAGGACAUAAUCAUCCCUUAAUCGAUUUCUUUCCGUUCUAGGUUCAAAUCUCGAUUUUCUUGAUCUAUAAUAUCACAUUUAGCCUACCAAUCAGUCACAAUAUUCAUAUGGGUCUAAAAAUCAUAUUUUUACAAAUUUUCAUUUUGACCCCUAAACUUUUGCAUAUUUGCACUUUUGCCUCAAUGCUCGUAAAAUAAUUUUUAUCACAUUUCUUUACUCCUUGAGUCUAGAUGAACCAUUUUCAUAACUAUAUCAACUCAUAAUUUCAACUAUUUUACACAUUACAACUUAUUUUACAACUUAGCAAUCUAGCCCUUUUUUAAGGUGUUUUCAUGUAAUUUCUUUCACAAAAGUUGUUUAUUAGACAACUAGGACUCAUAAUCUUCCAUAAAAACACAGAAAACAACACAUUUACUCUCAUGGCAAAACCCUAGACUCUUCAUCAUUUUUCAAAAUAGUCCCCUCUUAUGAAAGCUCAUGCUUUAGGGGUUCCAAAAAUGUAAAAAUCAUCAAGCAAAGACAUUAAAAUCACUUACAAGCAAGGGAAAUAUGUUGCUGAAAUUUUCCAGCUUCAAAACCCUUUCUUUGCUGCAUAUUUCGGUGAAGGAGAAGAGAAAAAUGAUAGCUUUUUCUUUUUUAUUUGUUAACAAUAAAACUAGUCAAAAUUGGUGACCAAAUUUCACCUAAAUUUGACUUUUCAACAAUUUUGUCUCCCAUGGCCGGCCAUCACACUUUCAAUGGCCUAAUUUCACUUUAAAAACCCC
RNAcentral lists this long non-coding RNA (2693 nucleotides) under Gossypium barbadense (sea-island cotton). RNAcentral's name for it is "long non-coding RNA (GBAR_LNC006757)". Lineage: Eukaryota; Viridiplantae; Streptophyta; Magnoliopsida; Malvales; Malvaceae. The record is from RNAcentral.